RNAcentral lists this transfer RNA (77 nucleotides) under Clostridia bacterium. Its description in RNAcentral is "tRNA-His". It matches the Rfam family "tRNA". Rfam says of the family: Transfer RNA (tRNA) molecules are approximately 80 nucleotides in length. Their secondary structure includes four short double-helical elements and three loops (D, anti-codon, and T loops). The record is from RNAcentral. Lineage: Bacteria; Bacillati; Bacillota; Clostridia.
GUGGGUAUGGCUCAGCUGGUUAGAGCGUCAGGUUGUGGCCCUGAAGGCCGACGGUUCGAAUCCGUUUACUCACCCCA